CUUAAAUAAAUUUUAAAUAUUACAUAUUUUAGUUUCUUGUCAUGAUUUCAUUCUCCCUAGUCUAAAGAUUUGAUGCUCCUUUUCAUAAAUUAUUUCACGGUAAUAUGUGUUCCCCCUACUUUGGAAGAAUUUCCCUGAAUUAUUCAAAUUCUGUCAGUAUAUUCAGGUAUUGUUCUUUUAUAAAAAAUUUAAAUAUAUGCCUUAAAAAUUUUUAAUAACUUUAUAGGUAUAACAGAUUAAGUAUUCUUUUCUGGUAGAAAUAUAGUUACUCAUCUUCAGUGUAUUUGAUCAUCUUGGGAUAAUAUCUCUUUACUACUAAUAUGUUCUGUCUGCUUCGUGUUUUAUAUUUUCCAGAGAAUUUUUACAUAGAUUAUUUGAUUUCUUGUUUAUAGCAGCCUUGUGGGAUAACCAGUGCAGAUGUAAUAAUGCCCUUCCAUUUUGCAGAUGAGGAAAUUUGGAUUUUUGCGUUCUGUAACUUGGCCAAGGUUUCAAAGCUUAAAAAGCAGAAAUGAAUUUAGAACUGCACUUUCUAAUUUAGUCUGAAUUAAUUUCAGAGUCUGAGUUAUAGAGAUAUUACUGAAUUUCUUCAUAGAUUGUAAAUUAUUAAAAAACAACACUUGCAGACUUUAAUGUAUUUAUUGUGUUGAUUCAAUUUGGGCCUACAUAAUACUGGUACUGGUCAUAGUACUGGUACACUGAAUAUUCAUUAUAAGGCCCAUUGUUAUGGGUUAUGAAAUAAUUCAUUGUCAUAUUGAUGCUGUAUGUUCAGAAUUAGUACUUUGUCAGUGUAUAAGUAUUGGUAAAGGAGGCAAAUGUCAAAUAUUAUUAACAUUAAUUACAUUCAAGUUGUUUGACAUCGCUAAACACAUUGGAAUUACUGUAUUUUUCAGACUAUAAGAUGGACUCCCCCCAGUUUGGGAGGAAAGGGGGGUGCAUCGUAUAUUCUGAAUAUAGUUUACCUGACUGUGGGGGCGGGGUACAGCAGCCUAUGUUAUUUAUGUUGUUAAAUAUUUUACCACAUUUUUUGCUUCAAAAAAUUAUUUUUCUAUUUUCCUCCUCUAAAACCUAGGUGUGUCUUAUGGUCUGGUGUGUCUUAUAGUCCUAAAAUACGGUAUUCACUGAUUAUGUAAUUGGGGCCUCAGAGUUCUACUCAUAUUUUUAUAAGUAGCAUGGAGAGGAGAACAUAACUACACUGACUAUAACUGAGGUUUGGGGGAAGGAGAACAAGAUUUCUACCAGUUGAAUUUGUAGUCCUAUACUUGGAAACAGUUCUGUUUAGAUUAAAACCUAAACUGGUCUUUGGUGGAAAGGGACUAAGGAUAGGUGAAAAUGUAUUUAGGGGGAAAGUAUUUUGAGUUUAAUUUAAUUACUUGAUAUAAUUAUAGAUCUCUGUGUUUGCAGGAGCAUUGACUAAUGAAAUAAGAAUGCUUAUUCUCAAAGGUGACUUUUUUUUUUUACUCUUCUGGUCCCAAGAUUAUGGCCAGAGGGAUAGCACUGUCACCAAGAAUAAUUUGGAGGUUGCCAAGGACUUGUUUUAAAGUGUUUUCAAGUCUGACCGAGAACUCUGACAUUUAGAAAACAAACAAAGAAGAAGAAUGCCUGUUCUCCACCACCCAACUAAAGAUUUCAUCUGUGAUGAGUUUAGUGCAUCUGGGUUUGCUUUGUGAUGAAAUGUUUCUAAACAGAGAUCUGCUUCCAGUAGAGAAGCAGUGUUACCGGAUGGGCAGAAGGCUCCAAUUUAGUGCUUUUCAUGAGAUUGUAUUUGGUGACUGCAUAAUUGUGAAGUUUAGCAAUACAAUCUGAGUAUGCUUUUUUCUCUAAAAAUUAGAAUUUGUAAAAGAAAGACGAUUCUCCAUCCUUCCUUAUACUCUACAUCAAGGGUGUCCAACUCAUUUUCACCAGGGGCCUUCUAAUGUAAUUUCAACUCCUUAACAGUUAAGGGGUAGUUACAUUUAUACAGUCCUAAAAUUAUUUUGGCCCUUUGAAGGCAACCGUGAGGCUGAUGUGGCCCCCGGUGUAAAUGAGUUGGAUACCCCUACUCUACUUUCAUACAACCAUAAACUUGACUGUGGUGUACAUGUUCCUGGUUUCUCUGGAGUAUAUAUCUAGAAGUGGAACUACUGGGUUAUACACUAUGUAUAUAUUUAACCCUACUAGACAGAGCUAAACUUACCUCUGCUUUUAACUCUUGUUGAAUAUUUUUAAGUUGAAAAACUUGAUAACAUACAUAAUGUUGCAGUCGACACCUUUCUUGCAUGUAAUACUUCUUUUAUGUUACUCUUGCAUAUAAACAUUUUGUUGAAGCUACAUUGGUUUUAAAAGAGUACUUAUCUGCUCUACUACCAUUGUGACUAAAUUGUGAUGGGGUAGGGUGUUGUGGUAAACAAAAGUAAUUAACCUUGAAAGUGGAGAGUAAACAGAAUAUUCUGAAUUAUUUUAUUGUCCUUAAUGGGGAUAGCAGCCAUCAGAUCAGUUAAAUAAACCAUUAUUAAAGUGGUAAGAAGAGUACAAUCUACUAAUAAAUUGCUUAAGUAAAAAAUGAAUACUGUUUAACAAAAUCAUUUAGUCUCUGAACUAAAUUUUUAGUUUGACUCUUUUAUUAGUAUGAUAAAAAUUAGAUGUGUUUUGAAGUAUGUAUAUAUAUAUAUAUAUACACACACACACACUUUAAAAAUAUUUUAUUUAUUUUUAGAGAGAGGGGAAGGGAAGGAGGAAGAGUGGGAGAGACACAUCAGUGUGUGGUUGCCCCCCAUGCGUCCCUACUGGGGACCUGGCCUGCAACCCAGGCAUGCGCCCUGACUGGGAACGGAACAGGUCCAUGCUCAGUCUACUGAGCCACACCACCCAGGGCUACACACACACACACACACACACACACACACACACACACACACACACAUACUUUGACAAAUAGAAUCAGAUUUUAGAUUCACUAGUGUUUUUUUCCAUGGCUGUUAGUUAUUAAUCUCUUUCUUCUCAAUUUCCUCAAACCUGUCCUGUUUUUGUUUGUUUCUUUGUUUUUUAUCCUCACCCAAGGACAUGCUCAUUGAUUUUAGAGAGAGGGGAAGAAAGGGGGAGAAAGAGGGAGAGAAAGGGAGAGUAACAUCAACCAGCUGCCUCUCUUGUGUGCCCUAACCUGGGACUGAACCCAUAACCCAGGUAUGUGCCCUGACUGGGAACCGAACCUGUGACCUCUUGGUUUAUGGGACAACAAUGUUCCAACCAACUGAGCCACACCAGACAGGACUCAAACCCCUCCUGCUUUUAAAGAGAAGGCAUGCAGUUUACUUUGGAAUUCAGGAUUAGGAAGUAAAUGUCUAUAUUCACAGUCUACUAAUUGUCCAGGCCCUAUGCUAAUAUUCUUUGAUUUAAAUCAUUGUCAGUGUUUAUUUGAUAUUCAAGGCAAGGAUUCUGAAUGCUAAUUUGUUUCUAAGUACCUCAAGGGAUAGCCUGAAAUUAAAAUAAUUUUAAGAAAUUGAUCUGUAAUUUAAAUUUUUACUAAUGUUCAUUUCUAGUAGGAAGGUAGAAAAUGAAGUGAAAUUUCUUUUAAGAGUUUAUUUAUUUAUUUUUAGAGAGAAGGGAAGGAAGAGACAGAGAGGGAGAGAAAGAAACAUCAGUGUGUGGUUGCCUCUUAUGUGUCCCCCACUGGGGACCUGGCCUGCAACCCAGGCAUGUGCCCUGACCAGGAAUCAAACCAGCAACCCUUUGGUUCACAGGCCGGCAUUCAGUCCACUGAGCCACACCAGGUAGGGCCAAAGUGAGAUUUAUAGUGGUUGGAUAUAUACAUAGUAAGAAAACUACAAAAUAUAUGCAGGGUCAUUUUUCUAGUCUUACGUGUCUUUCAGAAAUGUAUCUGUUCUGUCUGAAAACUUGUGCUUAAGGUUCAUUGAAAUAUGAUUCAGAGUAGAUAUCAAGAACCAGAAAGAAGGACUCAUUUAUCUUCCCUUUAAUAUUUUAGGCAUGAAGAAAUUCUGCUUUGUAAGGAACAAGUAAAGUUAAGCUUCAGUUUGAGAAAGUGAGGUUAAUGAAAUCAGAAUUGGACAGUUGGCAAAGGUAUGUUUUCUCAUGAGACUAGAAAUGAAGAGAGUCUUACUAUGGUGAUGUACAGUUCUUGAAGAAGUCAAACAACAGUGUUCAAUACAGACAGGAGGGGCUAUCUGUAGGCAGCCUUUGUGAUUGAGGAUAGAGCAGCAGCAGGAAGCAAGAAAUAUUAGAAAUCAAGAAUCCUGAAUUCCCAAAUAAGGAAGGUUUCCUCUUCUUACAUUUAAAUAUGGGUUUGUCUGAGCUGGGAAUUUACAACGCUUCAGAAUACUAGGGUAUGUUUUAAUUGAAAUCAUUAGGAAGAUUUUUGUUCUAUCAAAAUUGCCUCCUUAGCUGAUACAAUCUUAGUACAGAGCAUUCACAGUAAAAUGUGAGCUUUGUUUUAAAAUACACAUUACACUGUAAAGCAAUGAUCAAAUUCUGUUAUAUUUUGUAGCUGUAUCACAAAGUUGAAUGUGAUAUUGGACUACUUUCAUUAUGACAGUAAGCAAAUUAGAUAAUUUAAAAAUUACUGAAAUGAAAGCCAUGUUGAUUUAAAUACAUGACUAAUUAAGGAUAUUUUUGUUGUAUAUAAGGAAUCAAAUGGUAAAUGAUCAAGGGGUAUUUAUUUUGUUGUUUAUAAGUAAAAAAGAAAAUUUGGGACAAUUUUCUCCUCAGCUAAAAUUAUGUUUAGUAGAAUAGGUAUGUGUAUUAGUUAAAAAAUUUUGACACUAGUUUUAAAUGUGAAUUUUUAAAACCACACAACUCAAAAACAAAAUUAGUAGAAAAAAACUCUGAAAACUAAGAUUAAAAUGUCUGGAUUUUUUAAAUGGGUAUCUGCUGGAUCUACGGGUGAAGUACCUUUGGAACUGCCUUAGAAUUAGGGCAGUGUGAACAAUUUUUAAAAUAUUUAUUUGUAAAACUUUUUCGUCUCGUUUUGUAUAAUUUUAUGCCUUUGUAUCUAUUGAUGGUGUCCUUGAACUUGUAUCGAAGCAGUUCUGUACUUUCCUUACAGUAGACAUUUAACAAAGAAAAUUAAGGAUCUACUUAAAUUUUUUAAAUCUGUUUUUAAUUGAUUGAAGUAUGCUAUAAAGACUUAAUUUAGAAUAACUGAAUUUCUUUUCUGUUACCUCUUUGAAAUGCUUUGCUAAACUGUUCUGUGGUCAGAAAUGGAUAUCAUCAUUUCUCAGUAGCCAAUAGCAAAGGUAUUUUGACUAUGCUAGGUAGCUUGUUUUCCAACCUGUGCUUUUGUUAACUUGGAGGGGAUAACUUGGUUUUAAGAAAUUUUUCUCAUGGCUGAGACGGAGUCAGAGAAAAUCUAUUAACUUAUUUUGUAGUGUGAACUAGAUUAUUUUUAGGAAAUAUAAGUAUAUGCAUGCAGGUUGUAAUAAUAGCAGUGAUUUUCCAACUACUUUUUUUUUCUUUUUAUAAUAACAGUGGAAACCUUCAGAUGAAGCCUUAGACAAAUCUAUGCUAAUUAUGCUUAAGUAAAAAAGAAUAAAAACAAAAUCUUACUCAAAGAUUUGUUUGAAUCUUUGAGUAAGAUUUGUUUGAAUCUUACCCCAUUGUUUGAAAUAGACUGGAAUGGAAUAGUUAAGGUUAAAGCUGUCAGUUUGAACAUUGUAAAGGAAAAAGUGUCAUUUAGCUGAGGUCAACAGAGGAAAUUUAAUAAAGAAGAAAGUGGGAUUGUGGAAUUUUAGAGUUUUUGAAAGAUUCAGUGCAUCUGAUACAGAAUAAAUUUUUUGAACACAGAGUGGCUUUCUUUGUAUCUUAGUAAGUAUUACAUAUUGUAAUAGAUACAAUAAAAUGACAGACUUUACUUUUUACAUGUCAUGAACUUCUGCAAGUCCAACAAAAAGUCAUGAGGAACUCAUGUCUCUCACAUGUGUAUGUAACGCAUACAUCACAGUGAGGGCUGUCUUUCUGUUAAUGGGCUAGGCUUUUUUAUUGUUGGUCCAGUAAACCUAGUUGGCGGAGUUUAUACAAUACUUAGUAUAUAUUACACACUCUUCUAAGAAUUUCAAUUCCUUUUUUCCCAUAAAUGCUUUAGAAAUAAGUUAUAUUAUUAACCCCAUUUUCACUAGUAUGGUAACUGAGACACGGGGGCUAUGUGACUUGCACAGGGUUACAUCCAAGGACAAAUACGAAAGUACAAUGUAAAUCCAGAGCCUCUACACAUUGUCUUAAUAGCUUUUAGCAAAUGUUUUUACAUUGAA
This is a long non-coding RNA of Artibeus jamaicensis (Jamaican fruit-eating bat), 6236 nucleotides long. RefSeq lists it as uncharacterized. Lineage: Eukaryota; Metazoa; Chordata; Mammalia; Chiroptera; Phyllostomidae. The transcript is spliced from 3 exons. The record is from RefSeq and is a predicted model, not a curated record.